Misgurnus anguillicaudatus (oriental weatherfish) is the source of this 2363-nucleotide non-coding RNA. The record is from RefSeq and is a predicted model, not a curated record. Lineage: Eukaryota; Metazoa; Chordata; Actinopteri; Cypriniformes; Cobitidae.
UUAAAUCAUAUUUUAGGAUUGCACUUAAUUGAUAUUGCUGUUGAGUGAUGUUUCAUAUCUUUUACAUUUGUUAUAACCGGACUGCAUGCGAAUUUGAACUUCAGAGCUGAGGAAGCGGGUGGAGAAAUAGUCCCAAUAUCAUAACAAUCUUAAAUAAAACUUCUAAAUAUGCCCGUGUGUGUACCCGUGUGCGCGCGCGCGUGCGCGCGACCCGCUCGCGCGCGCGUGUGUAUGUACAGUAUGUGCGUGAGUUUUUAAUUUAAAAUGUCUUAACUUAACUCGGAAGGAUCUGAAUCACAGGUCAUUUCAUCUGAGAUCAUUCCGCAUGUAACAGCCGGAAUCACUCACUGUUUCCCACAACGACACGAGUCAUCAGCCGUUUCCUCAAGGUCACGUCAGAGCGGUGUUGAUGUGGAGAGGCAGACCAAGACCACCACCAUACGCGAAGAUGAGCCUCGAGGCGUGACAGUUAUUUUUUCAAACUAAGGACUUCGGACUCCGGACCGGCAUUUCUGCUAUUUUGUACCUUGAGAUAACCAUGGUUAAUAAAUGGUCAGACACGUCACUGGCUUUAAAAUAUAAACCCCAUUGAUGCAAAAAGAUGCUGCAUGGAAUGACAAUGUGGUUUGGAACAGACUUGGUGAAGAACAUGGAAACAUCUCUUAAUAAAAUGGCCCCAAACAUCAUCAGGAGUGCAAAAGAAGGAAGUAAAAACAUCUCUACGCCAAUCUCAUUGGAGAGGAAACCACAGAAGGUCUGGUGAGGAAUGCUGCACUUAUGUUAUUGCAAGCAUUAUUUCAAGAAAAUCCCAGCUUCCUUUACUGUGUAAAUAGUGAACCCAAAGGUCCCACACCAACCAUAGUGUUCAACGGCUCUCCUGAUCUUUUCAAAUCUGAAUGUCGGAGAAGCGGACCGCCCCUGUCGCGGAUCACGCUCCUCCUAGUUCCACCUCGAGGAGGUCCCAAAGCACCCCAAUGACCAGACAAACCAGAGGGGGAGUAUUACGGGGCCAGGGACGUUGGAGGGGUUUCCACGUGACUCCAGCUGGAACACCGCUACAGAGCGUAUCUGGGUGGGUUGGGCACACACCGUCGCGGCGGCCCCUGAUGGCAUCCACAAGGGUCCAAGACCCUCCUAAGCUCCUAGCCAUAGCAGAACUACGUAUUUCAGCACCCGAAGGACUAACAACCCAGCCGGCAUCUGCAGCGUAUAUCCAACGCGAUCAAACUUCACUCUGACAAGUAACUUCCUAUACACAACCACGCCGUCCAUUCGCCCGGACCAGCCCCGCACUCUUUCCGCCCGCUACCAAGCGGUCGCCGGAUCAGCAGAGCCUGCGGACUCUUCGGAGGCUGGUCUUCGUUGUGCUGCCCAAGGCGGAAGUUGACUCGCCCGAAAAUCGACCCUUCCAGUAACUUCUACCUUCUCUCUUUAUAUCCUCCUCCCAGGCGUGGCUCGCCCAACCAUCGCUCGCCACGUCACUCACACAGCUGUGCCUUGUUUCAGCGAGUGCGGGGAUUCCCGGGGAACCCUGAAGUGCCGGUGUCUGUACAAACCGGUCCGGGCGGAACCUCUUCACUCUCCUUUUGGUUCCGCCCCGCAUAGUCACUCCGUGACAACUGUUUGCGUUUUUUUUUCUCCUCAAUGUUCAAUACCCUUUUGCCAUUAAGCACACAGUGACUUUAAUUUAUAAAAUAUAUGCAUAAGUUUUAAUACCUGUACAAAACAAAUGUACAAUCAACUUGUGUAAAUUGUCAUUCUAUUUAAUAGAUUGUUCAUGAAUUGUCUUUAAAUGCAUUGUGAUUUCGGUAACACUUUACAAUAAAGUUCAUUAGUUAACAUUAGUUAAUGUAUUAACUAACUUGAACAAACCAUAAGCAAUACAUUUGUUACAGUAUUUAUUCAUCUUUGUUAAUGUUAGUUAAUAAAAAAUUAAGCUUUAAUUGCUUGUUCAUGUUAGUUCAGAGUGCAUUAACUAAUGUUAACAAGAUUUUAAUAAAGUAAUUGUUGAAAUUAACAUUAAUAAAAAUUAAUAAAGGCUGUAUAAGUGCAGUUCAUUAUUAGUUCAUGUUAACUAAUGUAGCUAACUAAUGUUAACUAAUGAACCUUAUUGUAAAGUGUUACCGUGAUUUCUUUUCAUCAUUUCAGACACAUGUAAGUUACUAAAAAUUAAUACUGCAUAUACUGUACAGUAUCUAUGCGUAAGGGAAAUAACUUGAACAAAAUUUUUAAUGUAUAGUGUAAUUAAGAGUUUAGCUGUUUAAUACAGAGAUGCAAUUUAUUUAUAUAUAUUAUUUAUAUAUAAACGUAUGGAUGUUUAUUAAAAAGUGAAAAUGCUUAAUGGAAAUAAUUAAAUAACUAAA